Molecule: ribosomal RNA, 558 nt
Filed under: Cryptosporidium bovis
Lineage: Eukaryota; Apicomplexa; Conoidasida; Eucoccidiorida; Cryptosporidiidae
Description: SSU rRNA
Rfam family: Eukaryotic small subunit ribosomal RNA
Source: RNAcentral
CGGUAGGGUAUUGGCCUACCGUGGCUAUGACGGGUAACGGGGAAUUAGGGUUCGAUUCCGGAGAGGGAGCCUGAGAAACGGCUACCACAUCUAAGGAAGGCAGCAGGCGCGCAAAUUACCCAAUCCUAAUACAGGGAGGUAGUGACAAGAAAUAACAAUACAGAACCUUACGGUUUUGUAAUUGGAAUGAGUUAAGUAUAAACCCCUUAACAAGUAUCAAUUGGAGGGCAAGUCUGGUGCCAGCAGCCGCGGUAAUUCCAGCUCCAAUAGCGUAUAUUAAAGUUGUUGCAGUUAAAAAGCUCGUAGUUAAUCUUCUGUUAAUUUUUAUAUAUAAUAUCACGAUAUUUAUAUAAUAUUAACAUAAUUCAUAUUACUUUUUAGUAUAUGAAACUUUACUUUGAGAAAAUUAGAGUGCUUAAAGCAGGCUAUUGCCUUGAAUACUCCAGCAUGGAAUAAUAUUAAGGAUUUUUAUUCUUCUUAUUGGUUCUAGAAUAAAAAUGAUGAUUAAUAGGGACAGUUGGGGGCAUUUGUAUUUAACAGUCAGAGGUGAAAUUCUUA